This 68-nucleotide transfer RNA is filed under the name Gandalfus puia. RNAcentral describes it as "tRNA-Ile". Lineage: Eukaryota; Metazoa; Arthropoda; Malacostraca; Decapoda; Bythograeidae. The record is from RNAcentral.
AAUAUAGUGCCUGAUUUAAAAGGAUAGCUUUGAUAGAGCUAAUAAUGUAAUAUUUCUUACCUAUAUUA